RNAcentral lists this unclassified non-coding RNA (314 nucleotides) under uncultured fungus. RNAcentral describes it as "partial contains small subunit ribosomal RNA, internal transcribed spacer 1, and 5.8S ribosomal RNA". The stretch from base 1 to 73 matches the Rfam family "Eukaryotic small subunit ribosomal RNA", at positions 1759 to 1831 of the family's 1831-position model. Lineage: Eukaryota; Fungi. The record is from RNAcentral.
UCAAACUUGGUCAUUUAGAGGAAGUAAAAGUCGUAACAAGGUUUCCGUAGGUGAACCUGCGGAAGGAUCAUUACAGGUCACGCUGAGGUAUGGAUUCUACUCAUUUUGGGGUAGAACCUUAUCUCGGUAGCCAUGAUCAUCCCUUUGUGCACGAAUUGAUACUCUUACGGGCUUUGGCAGAUGUAAAAGUUUGCCAAAGUUUUCCGUCAGCAAUAAACUUUGUCUGCAUUUUUGACUGUAUUUAUUUGAGCAAAUAACACAAUACAACUUUCAACAACGGAUCUCUUGGCUCUCGCAUCGAUGAAGAACGCAGC